Molecule: long non-coding RNA, 870 nt
Organism: Helianthus annuus (common sunflower)
Lineage: Eukaryota; Viridiplantae; Streptophyta; Magnoliopsida; Asterales; Asteraceae
Exons: 2
Source: RefSeq, a predicted model, not a curated record
GGAUUAUGGAUCUGUGUUCAAUCAUCUAAUAAAAACCCAGUCAGAUCUCUUUCUCACACACAAACAUCACAACUUUUUAUCAAGAUCCCUUCUCUCUAACCCCUCCUAAACAUGGCCACCACCACCAUCGAUUGAGAAGAAGAUAGGGCGGCUGGGAAUCAACUGCUACUACUUUACCAGAGAAGAUCUUUCAAUCAUCUACACCACCGCAGAUCUAGCUGGGCAGUGUUUAUGCUGGUGACAGCGAUGUUAAACCCUAGCCACCCUUACCCCUCUAGAUUCGAGAGAGAGAGAAAUUCCAUAGAGAGAGAGAGAGAGAGAGCUGCGAGAUGAUGUUGGUGGUAGUUGUUCUUGAAUCUGAGCAAAGGGGCGGCGACGGAGUUAGGGGCGGCAGGGGCGGCGGAGUUUAAGGUGUUGACAGCGGUGUUAGGGUGGUGGAUGAGUUGAUGUUGGUGGUGUUCUUGAAUCUGAGAUUAUUUUUCUUCCAUUUAUAUAUCAUGUAUUUAGAUGUUGAUGCACAUAUAUGAUGUUCAGAUGUUUAUGAGAAGCUUGUUCAAAAGGGGAAAAGACUUGGUUUCUUCCGCUUGCUGGCAACACAGCUGUAUGGCAAGGUUUAUAUCCAGGUUGAUUUAAGUUCUUCAAUUUUUAGUGGUUGUAUAGAUCUAAAACAAAUGAUGAGAUGAUGUUGUUGGUGGUGGUGGUGGUUGUUAUGAAGAUGAAAUUCAAAGAUAAGGUUUGAAGAUGGUGUUUAAGAUCGAAUUUAUGAUGAUGUUCAUGUUUCAUAAUUUAUAUUCUUUAUUUUGAAGAUAUCAUAUUCAUAUUUUAUUGCAGAUGUUUAUUGUUUGAAGAUGUUCAUAUUGUUCAUUUGAA